Molecule: ribosomal RNA, 424 nt
Filed under: uncultured bacterium
Lineage: Bacteria
Description: bacterial SSU rRNA
Rfam family: Bacterial small subunit ribosomal RNA
Source: RNAcentral
UGGGGAAUAUUGGGCAAUGGCGACACGUCGACCCAGCAACGCCGCGUGAAGGAAGAAGGUCGUUCGGUUGUAAACCUCUGUCCUAUGGGACGAAGGAAGUGACGGUACCAUAGGAGGAAGCCCCGGCUAACUACGUGCCAGCAGCCGCGGUAAUACGUAGGGGGCGAGCGUUGUCCGGAAUGAUUGGGCGUAAAGGGCGCGUAGGCGGCCUGGUAAGUCUGGAGUGAAAGUCCUGCUUUUAAGGUGGGAAUUGCUUUGGAUACUGCUGGGCUUGAGUGCAGGAGAGGAAAGCGGAAUUACCGGUGUAGCGGUGAAAUGUGUAGAGAUCGGUAGGAACACCAGUGGCGAAGGCGGCUUUCUGGACUGAAACUGACGCUGAGGCGCGAAAGCGUGGGGAGCAAACAGGAUUAGAUACCCUGGUAGU